CUGGGUCAAACGGAGUAACCGGAAGGUGAAAGACGACCUUAGCAAAAGGAGAAGUACUUCCCUGGUCCACGAGGCCAAAAACUGCCCUUUGAUGCUCAAGCACGGACGCUGCUUGCAUGGCGGGAGGAUGUGCCUAUUCCCGUUUCAUGUGCUUGAGCAACGCAGAUUAGACGGCACCCUACAACCCAUCUGUACGAAGGAGCGAAUACUUUUUAUGACCAGC
This 223-nucleotide non-coding RNA is filed under the name unclassified sequences. Its description in RNAcentral is "RT-2 RNA". It matches the Rfam family "RT-2 RNA". From Rfam's summary of the family: Coriobacteriales (Actinobacteria), Clostridiales (Firmicutes). The record is from Rfam by way of RNAcentral.